Molecule: small RNA, 27 nt
Filed under: Bombyx mori (domestic silkworm)
Lineage: Eukaryota; Metazoa; Arthropoda; Insecta; Lepidoptera; Bombycidae
Description: ovarian small RNA-19607
Source: RNAcentral
UAAUAUCCAGAAGUAAGCCAUCAUCAA